GACGAACGCUGGCGGCGUGCCUAAUACAUGCAAGUCGAGCGAAUGACGAGAAGCUUGCUUCUCUGAUUUAGCGGCGGACGGGUGAGUAACACGUGGGCAACCUGCCCUACAGAUCGGGAUAACUCAGGGAAACCUGGGCUAAUGCCGGGUAAUCCUUCGAAUCACAUGUUUUGAAGUUGAAAUGCUCUCCGGCGUCACUGUAGGAUGGGCCGGCGGUGCAUUAGCUAGUCGGUGGGGUAACGGCCUACCAAGGCAACGAUGCAUAGCCGACCUGAGAGGGUGAUCGGCCACAUUGGGACUGAGACACGGCCCAAACUCCUACGGGAGGCAGCAGUAGGGAAUCUUCCACAAUGGACGAAAGUCUGAUGGAGCAACGCCGCGUGAGUGAUGAAGGUUUUCGGAUCGUAAAACUCUGUUGUAAGGGAAGAACAAGUACGUUAGGAAAUGAACGUACCUUGACGGUACCUUAUUAGAAAGCCACGGCUAACUACGUGCCAGCAGCCGCAGUAA
RNAcentral lists this ribosomal RNA (510 nucleotides) under uncultured bacterium. RNAcentral describes it as "partial 16S ribosomal RNA". It matches the Rfam family "Bacterial small subunit ribosomal RNA", at positions 28 to 523 of the family's 1533-position model. The record is from RNAcentral.